AAGAAUGAUUUAGUGGUUAGGGGGUAAAUUCCGUAGAGAUCACUAGGAAUACCAAAAGCGAAAGGCAAUCUUUUGGAACANUACUGACGCUGAGGCGCGAAAGCGUGGGGAGCAAACAGGAUUAGAUACCCUGGUAGUCCACGCCCUAAACGAUGAAUGUUAGUCGUCGGGAGGCUWGUCCUUUCGGUGAUGCAGUUAACACAUUAAACAUUCCGCCUGGGGAGUACGGUCGCAAGAUUAAAACUCAAAGGAAUAGACGGGGACCCGCACAAGUGGUGGAGCAUGUGGUUUAAUUCGAAGAUACGCGAAGAACCUUACCUAGCCUUGACAUUGAUAGAAUCUGGUAGAGAUASYGGAGUGCCCUUCGGGGAGCUUGAAAACAGGUGCUGCACGGCUGUCGUCAGCUCGUGUCGUGAGAUGUUGGGUUAAGUCCCGCAACGAGCGCAACCCUCGUUAUUAGUUACUAACGGUUCGGCCGAGGACUCUAAMAAGACUGCCUUCGUAAGGAGGAGGAAGGUGAGGACGACGUCAAGUCAUCAUGGCCCUUACGGCYAGGGCAACACACGUGCUACAAUGGUCAGGACAAUGAGACGCAAUACCGCGAGGUGGAGCAAAUCUAUAAACCUKGUCUCAGUUCGGAUUGUWGUCUGCAACUCGAGUACAUGAAGCUGGAAUCACUAGUAAUCGUAGAUCAGCYAUGCUACGGUGAAUACGUUCCCGGGUCUUGUACUCACCGCCCGUCACACCAUGGGAGUUGAUUUCACCCGAAGCGGGGAAGCUAAACUGGCUACCCUCCACGGUGGAAUUAGCGACUGGGGUGAAGUGGUAACAAGGUAAUCCAAGGG
Molecule: ribosomal RNA, 845 nt
Filed under: uncultured bacterium
Lineage: Bacteria
Description: bacterial SSU rRNA
Rfam family: Bacterial small subunit ribosomal RNA
Source: RNAcentral